GGACCCGUAGCUCAGUGGAUAGAGCAGGUGUCACCGUAAGGUGAUGUUUCAUCACUCUUGUCGUCAUGCCCAGCGCAUCGAGGUCGCGAACGGCAACGGGAAAGGAAAAAGACAGACUGUGACGAAUGCCUUUGGAACUACAUCAGACGCUUCGUGUCGCGGGUUCGAUCCCCGCCGGUCCCG
RNAcentral lists this transfer RNA (183 nucleotides) under Aminobacter carboxidus. Its description in RNAcentral is "tRNA-OTHER". Lineage: Bacteria; Pseudomonadati; Pseudomonadota; Alphaproteobacteria; Hyphomicrobiales; Phyllobacteriaceae. The record is from RNAcentral.